Globicephala melas (long-finned pilot whale) is the source of this 6036-nucleotide long non-coding RNA. RefSeq lists it as uncharacterized. The record is from RefSeq and is a predicted model, not a curated record. Lineage: Eukaryota; Metazoa; Chordata; Mammalia; Artiodactyla; Delphinidae.
GUGCACCGCAGAGCCCGGACACAGCGUGCGCGGCGUGUGCGCAUGUGUGCAUGCGUGAGCGUGCGUGUGCGUGCGGAUUCGCCGCGGGCCGUCAGUCCCAGUCGCCGCGGGAGACGGGCAGUGUCUGGAGGAGGGGGCAGGAGGCCAUUUUUGUCUUCUAUAGCUUCGAAUCAAGACUCUCCUUUUAAAAAUGGGUUAAAGAACAAAGUGAGUGAAAACCUAAGCGCCCCCCCUCCCUCCGCAGGAAGCUCUAGUUCCGGGGCUGCGCGGGCCCCGUUUCUCCGGGGGUUAGCGCACGGGAGUUGGGCGCCCACCGCGUCUGCUGCUGAGGUCGGGCGGCCGCAUCCCGGGGCACCUGGGCCUCUUCGUGGCUCCUGGACUCCACAGCGCAGGCCUCCUCUCGCGCUCGGCUCGGCAAUCCCGGGCCCCUGACCUCGGUAGCCGAGCCGCCCACCGUUUCCUCCCCCGAGGGCGUAAACCCGAAUCCACUCUGGCCUCGGGCCUCGGCCUGCGCCUUGGCCGGCGGACCGCCCGGCUCUGAGGAUUCUGGGCGAUGGGGAGGCGGGCUGAGCUCCCCUCCUGACGGGAUUCCGCACGCAUCUGUUUCGGGACCCUGGCCGUGUCCCGGCCUUAACCUCCUCAGCGUUACAACGGGGAUAAUAAACCUUGCUGGCUCGCCCGCCAGGUGGUGGCUGGAUAAUAUAUUCCGGUGGAGGACUGAGGAGGGUUGGCAAAGACUGUCGACUAUUCCGCUGGGUGGCCGUUCACAGCCCUCCCAGAUUGGAGGGUGGAGGGCGGGGGUAGUUCAGCCCCCGGCCUGCGACCUCCCGGAAGAAAGGGGCUCGUGGUCGUUUAGGUUGCGCAGAGCCCGCCACGCUUCCGGCUGGGGCACGUGGCGCCCUUGGGGACCUUCGGCCUCACUGUCCCGAGCUCGGCCUGGGGCGGAGCAGCCUUCUCGGCACCCUGUACUCGGCUCUGCGCGGACCCCACCGUCUCGCCGAGGGCAGCAGCCGUAGGAGACUCCGGAACUUCUGGCCAGAGCAGGAGCUGAGCGUCCCCGACUGAACCGAGGCAGAAAGGGAAGCCCUGUAGGUUGUCCUGAUCUGCAGACGCAGUGGAGGCGACCCUGAGUCUUGCAGGGAAACCAACCCCAGAGAAGACAUUGGCCUCUGAUGGUCAGACCUCCGCGGAGAGUAUCAAAGAAGGAAGUCCCACCAACUCUUCACAAAACUAUAAAACCAUCUAAAAAAAGUAAGCGUCCAUAUGGAUUGAGGGAAACAGUUGAGAAUUAAAAGGCAUCACGAUACAGGGCUAUGAUUAUAUAUGCCAUCAUCCAGGAGACCACAACUACUUGCUUAUGAGGACUGUGCUUAUAAGAUUGUUUUCCUCGUCAGCUCUACCACUUCUUACUUUCAGUGUGCCUGCAUCUACAAGAAAGAAGUGAUCCCAAAGUAAAGCUGGUUUUCAGCAGCCUCUCUGCUCCAAAUGUGACUGGCAUCAAAGUCUAAUGAAAACCUGUUUGCGGACACUGGACCCAUUCCAAGUCCAGUGAUAUCAAAGGAUUACAGCCUGAUUUGCCACAAAACUUCUCAACAAGUCUGAUCAUACAAAUAUUCUUGGAGAUUAUUUUAGGAAGCCUAUAUGCUAGUACUUUUGACUGCAGGAAGGGAAACAAAGUUUCUCCGAAGUGGUCAUUUCCAGGAAGCAAGACUUACCGCUCAUAGCUAAAGAAGACCAGUUUCCGGAGAAACAAGGUUCACAGGUAAAUACCUAAUAUUGAGGCUGCUGGAAGUCUGAUUUCCAGGUACAUGGGUCGAGACUGUAUUCCUAUUUGGGGAAGGUCAAGUCAGAGAAACAUGAUGCUACUGAAUAAUACUUCAAUUCCAGGAGCAUGAACUGAAAACCUCCUAGGAAUCAGGCAGUCCUACAUAGUCCCUGACUUUAAGAACACAGACAGAAAUGUAAGCAAAUAAAUUAUAAUUCAGUAUCAUAACAACAAUAGUGGAAGCAUACUCAAAGUAAAGAGACAGCCCAGGGGGAAGAGAUCUGGAAUCUUCACGUGGGAUGGGAGAAGGUUUUCAAGGAAGCCUUCCCAGAAGAGGUGCUAUUAGAGCUGAACAGGGGUUUCUCAAGAUGAAUCAGACUUGGAAAUAGACAAGCAAAGUAAGGAAAGUCAUUCCAGGCAGAGGGAACAGCAUGAAUGAAGCCAUCAAGCAGUGUGGUACCUAUGGGGAUCUAUAAGUUCAGUAUUGCUGUUCCAUAGAAUGCAAGGUAAUUGGUUCCUUUGGGGAAAAUAAUAACGAUAGCCUAUACACAGGGUGCUUUCCACAUGCCAGGCAGUGUUCUAAGUCUUUAUACAUUAGCACGUUCAAUCUUCCCAGCAACCCUGGAACAUAGGCACUAUUAUUAUUCCUAUUUUGUAGAUGGAAAAACUGAGGCACAGAGAGAUUACUAUAUAAGAUGAUAAUACUGCACAGGUUCUAAGGAAAUAGUAUAUAUUUUUUCUUUUUAUUAAAUCAUUUUUUGUUUUCUUUUUUUUUUGAAUUUUAUUUUUUUUAUACAGCAGGUUCUUAUUAGUUAUGCAUUUUAUACGUAUUAGUGUAUAUAUGUCAAUCCCAAUCUCCCCAUUUUUUGUUUUCUUAAAGCAACUGUUUUAAAAAGUCUGGUCUAGCUGUCCAGGACUGAUAUACUCAGAGGAGAGCAAGAAAGAGUAAUUGGUGAUUAAAGGAAGAGAGAGGUUUUUUUAAAAAAAAUCUUUGAAAAUAGUGUCAUUUAAAGUAAAACAAUUGUGGUAGUGGUGUUGUCUUAGUUCCUUAAGGAUUUUUAGUGCACAUAAAUAGAAAGGAUAAAUAUUUCUUAUGUGAUUAGUAAGCAAAAAAGAGUAUGAAAAGUGGAAAUAAGUAUGUAUGCUUUUUAAUACUUUACAGAAAGUUAUAUUAAAAACUUUAUAAAGGCCCACUGGAUAUUUAUUUUCCCUCCUCCAGUAACAGUCUUAAAUAAAUAUAAUUACUUUUGGACAAUAAAGUGCUUCAACGUCGUAUACUGAAAACCAAUAAAAAAUACCAGUCACUUGGAAGAGGUCCUGUUUGGAGGCUGACCUGGCCCUUACACAGCACAGUCAGAAGGUGAAAGGUUAAAAGUGCAUACUUGAUCUUAGACUGAACAUAAAGUGUAAACUCCGGGUUUGUUUUUUUUUUAAGCCAAAAGUAGUUUUAUUUCCUUCUCUCUUUUUUUUUUUUUAAAGUUAAUUAGCCACUAAUGUGGACAGUCUUAAGGAUCUAAGUCAAUUAGGACACUUCGUACGUAAAUUUUCCAAGCUGAAGCCGCAUGCCCUUUGCAUUUAUAGCUGAUGUACUCUGGAUAAAAUCUCUUUGCAAGGAACAAUAAAAGGCUGAAUGAUGGAGACCAUGAGCUUAGGGUUGAUGUCAUAAAGAAGUUCUCAAUAUUUUGGCACUUCCCUUCUGAUGUGAAGUGUGUUAUUCUCAUUUGGCAGGCGGUGGCCAAGUGGAAUAAGAAAGCGCGUGCUAAGCCACCGCAGCUCUAAAGUGACAGCAAAAGGCAUCUGCUGCAUUUCCCAUUUGGAUUCUGCAGCCCCUUUGAUUCACACCCAGUUUUUUCAGAUUAGAUCUCUGCCAUUUUACUUAUAUAUGUCACUACCACAUUCAAUUCACACAUUAUAACCUGCCACACGGCAUAGCUUUUCUUAUCCUUAUAGAUACAAAUGACAGUAUUUGACCGUUUUAUCUUUAGAAUUAUUUAGUAUCUCCCAACAGUCUGGAUCAUUUCUUUUCUUAUACUUUGUUGAAGUAUGAUUGACAUGAAAAGUUGUACAAAUGAACUUAUUUACAAAACAGAAAUAGAGCCAUAGAUGUACAAAAUAAACUUAUGGUUACCAAGGGGGAAGUGGGGGGGAGGGAUAAAUUGGGAGAUUGGGAUUGACAUAUAUACACUACUGUAUAUAAAAUAGAUAACUAAUAAGAACCUACUGUAUAGCAGGGUGAACUCUACUCAGUACUCUGUAAUGACCUAUAUGGGAAAAGAAUCUAAAAAAGAGUGGGUAUAUGUUUAUGUAUAACUGAUUCACUUAGCUGUGAAUCAGUUGUGUGUUAACAAAAUCAGCUGUUGUGUUAGCAGAAACUAAUACAACACUGUAAAUCAACCAUACUCCAAUAAAAAUUAAUUUAAAAAAUAAAUAAAAUAACCUAUGUGGUAUUCUAACUCUCCAAAAAAAAUAAGUUAUACAUACUUAAUGUGUACAACCUGAUGAGUUUGGAAAUAAGUAUACACCCAUGAAACCAGCACCACAAUCUAUGCUAUACAUGUCACCUCCAAAAGUUUACUCCUGUCCUCUUUAUUAAUUAUUAUUAUUUAGUGAUAAGACAAUUAACAUAAGAUCUACUCUCUUAGCAAAUCUUCUAGUAUACAAUAUGGUACUGUUAUACUGUAUUGUAUAUGUAUAUGUAUACACUCUGUGCUGUGCAGUAGAUCUCUAGGACCUUAUUCAUCUUGUGUAACUGAAACUUGCUGCUUUUUGACUAAUACCUCCUCUCUCUGCUCUCCCAACCCCUGGUAACCACAAGAUCUUUUCAUAAUGAGUGCUUGCUGCUCUAUUUUUAAUACUACCAACAUUUCCAUUUAAAGGGGGAGACAAGCUUCUCUUAUAGCACAGAGUCCUACAUUUCUAAGUUUAAUUUAUAUUUACGAAUAUAGAUUUACAUAUACAUGUGUAUUUUGAGAGCUAUUUCAGAGGAAGAGUUGACAAGUCUUAAUGACUAAUUGGACAUGGGAGGUGAGGGAAAGGGAGAAUUCGAAAACAGUCCUGAGGUUUCUGGCUUGAGCAAAUCUGUGAAUGGUGAUGCCUUUCAAUGCCCAAAUGGACCAGGGCCCAUUUGAAUACACUGGGCUUGAGGUGUCUGUGGGAUGUCCAGGUGGAAAGGGCCAGUGGGUGGUUGGAUGUUUGGCUUUGAAGCUCAGGAUGGGUUUGGGCUGAAGAUAAGGCACAGGGGUCGUCAGCAUCAAGGAGGCAAUGGAAGACAAAGAUGUAGGUGAGCUCAUCAAUCAGAACAAGUAGAAUUUGAAGAGAAGACAACAUCCUAAGGAAGCCCAAUGUUUGAGGAGCUCUAGUGGAAGAGAAGUCACAGAUGGACUGAGAAGGAACAUCCAGAGGGGACAAGAGGAAAAUAAGGAGAGUACAGGGCCCUAGAAGCAAAAGAAAGGCCACAGCUGAAGGAGCCAAGGGGGCUCAACAGCCACGGGGUCACAAAAGAUCAUAACUGCAAAGUCACCUUUGGAUUUAGCAAUGAUGACAUCAGCGACCUUGAUAGGAUCACUUGCAGUUGAUAAGUUGGGGAUCAUCCCAUUAUAAUAAUAGAAACAAUCAUCUUAAAUUAAUGACAUGGAUCUUUAGAAAUUUGCAAAGAACAUUACACGCCUCAUUUCAUGCUCAUAAUACUCUUGUUAAUUAGAUGUGACUGCUUCCAUUACAUAAAUGAAGGGAGAAUUAGAAAGUCAAGUAAUUAUAUAAUAAUAAAACAAUAAUAGUAAUAAAAAUGGUCUUUCUAAAACAUUUACUGUGUGCAAAACAUUGUACUAAACAUUUACUUUGCAUAAAAAGAUUGCAAUGUAGAUUUUAUUAACUCAAUUUAAGGAAGGUCCAGAGAAGUGGGGUAACUUUUCCAGGCUCACACAGCUAGGAAAUGGCAGAAUGGGGCUUUGAACUCAGAGCUGUGGGGUGCUGAAGUACAAAUUCUUUGCACUAUUAAAGACUGCCUCACCAGAUGUUCAGGUUUUCAGGCAAAUAUCACUUUAAAAUUUUUUCUUGAGGGCUCCCCUGGUGGCGCAGUGGUUGAGAGUCCACCUGCCAAUGCAGGGGACAUGGGUUCGUGUCCCGGUCCGGGAAGAUCCCACAUGCCGCAGAGCAGCUGGGCCCAUGAGCCAUGGCCGCUGAGCCUGUGCGUCCGGAGCCUGUGCUCCGCAACGGGAGAGGCCACAACAGUGAGAGGCCCGCAUACCGCAAAAAAAAAAAAAAAAAAUUUU